Molecule: small RNA, 497 nt
Filed under: Rattus norvegicus (Norway rat)
Lineage: Eukaryota; Metazoa; Chordata; Mammalia; Rodentia; Muridae
Description: uncharacterized LOC108352970
Source: RNAcentral
CUUCACCAAAGACCAUCCCUGGUCUCUCACAGUGCCAAGCCUCAGCUGCUCUCCAUGAUGCCUUCAGGCCUUUAAAGCAGUGUUCUAGGACUGAUUGGCUGGACACCGCAAAUCUUCCUUUGUUGAGUAAAUGACAUUCGAUAUGAAACAUGCUCCCCUACAGCAGAUGUAUGUGCUGAACAUCAAUGAUGGAUUAACAUUCGUUUCUACAUGUUUGAAUAGGUUCCAUCUGCUAGAGGAUUGAUUUCUUAUGUUGUGAUGGUGGGAAGUGCUGUCAACAGAAGAUGUCUCAGGAAAAUGUCCUCAGGUAACCAGUGCGGUCUUGGAUGAUUGUUGGACCCUUGGCAUUUUCUCUGCUUCCAUUGUUUCUUUUCUCACAAGGUGAAUUUAAUUCACUACUUCUGUCUUAUGAGCCACCCAAACUAUCAGAAUUUUUUAUAUCGAAGAGGGAAUUAGAAGUCAAAAUGUAAACUGAAGUUUUCUCUUAAUGAAUUUAU